This 253-nucleotide ribosomal RNA is filed under the name uncultured bacterium. Its description in RNAcentral is "partial 16S ribosomal RNA". It matches the Rfam family "Bacterial small subunit ribosomal RNA", at positions 524 to 776 of the family's 1533-position model. The record is from RNAcentral.
UACAGAGGGGGCAAGCGUUGUUCGGAAUUACUGGGCGUAAAGGGCGCGUAGGCGGCCUUCUAAGUCGAACGUGAAAUCCCUGGGCUCAACCCAGGAACUGCGUCCGAUACUGGAAGGCUUGAAUCCGGGAGAGGGAUGCGGAAUUCCAGGUGUAGUGGUGGAAUGCGUAGAGAUCCGGAGGAACACCAGCGGCGAAGGCGGCAUCCUGGACUGGUCCUGACACUCAGGAGCGAAAGCGUGGGGAGCGAUCCGG